ACACUGAGGUUGAUAAAUUACCGGAUUACUUGCAGAGUGCUUGUUGUGGGUUUUAUACCUGCUAGGGUGCUCAUAUCUACUAGGGUACGUCAUAGAGUCCACUACGAUCCCCCAAAGGACUACCAUCAUGUAGCGACAGCAAUAACUCGAUUCGCUCUUUGACAGAAACUCCCUUUUAGUCGGCGUACUAAUGAAGAUAAAUUGACAACAAAACAAUUAGGACUUCCUAGACCAAAUGUAUCCCUUCAACAGGUUUCUACAAAGGGAGUAUGGAUUAAAAGACCUGAAGCAUCUGGCAGAAAGAACAGUGAAACACGAAAGCUGUAACCCCCAUAAUCAAUUGCGCCCUGCAAUUGGGACUAUUGGGUCACGUCAACAUCAUGGCACAGCUAGAUAGUGCAUAUCAGCGGAACAUUUUAGAGCACAACAAACAGACGGGGGAGAAUCGUUAUGUACUGGGGAGACUGAUAUCGUGCAUAAAGCCCUGUGGGAAGUGCGAACUUUGAGACGAUGUGCGAGGGCGACACCAGGCUGCAAAGACACUAAGAUUCUAACAAGAUUCAGUUGAUGAGCUUGAAGGACCAGUAAUCUCCCAUCCCAAUGUAACAUCAAUAACAUCAAUCAAUUACACAUUGCAUCUGGGUCCUAGCCUACCUUUCCAUGAUCCCUUAAUUCAGUUGUAACCUGGAUGUCCUAUCACCAUGCACGUCCUUUUGCUUGUAUAUCUCAGGCAAAUACAGAACUCGAACCUGUGAAGCAUUUAUUAUUACAAGUGUGGAAUAAAGUCUCAUCUCAUAGGUAUGGCCAUGAAUUCUAAGAAAACAAUGUAUUAAUACACACCAAGGCUUAACUGAAAUGAGGAUGCAAUGGAAGUCCACAUUCUAUCAGGCCACAUUACGAUCAAAACGAGUUGCUAAAUGAAAGUUUGAGGAUUUCUGCAGCACUGUAUAUAACCCAGUAAAUGACAUUCACAGCUUGUAUUUCAGGCACUGAAUUGAAGCUCCCUGACAAGAGCAUCAGCAGUGUGCAGUGUUACAUGAACGUGAAACUGAACGAACUGUAGGGACAGCCGAUCUGCACAAAGACAGUUUUUUAUCAAACAUGUCAAGGAAGAAGCAGUGUGGAGACCUUAACUUCUGGUGAUGGGACAGUGGAGCCCUGCUGAUGAUGCAAUGUGUGUGAUGUGUGAGUAAGAGGGGUGCAGCAUUGAGGGGCGACGCUGAACUCCCGACUGCUACUGAUGUGCAGGUUGGCACUUCGCAUGGUAGCCUCUUCCAUCGGAGUGUGAAUGGGUAGAUGUCUGAGGCAUUAACAUGUAAAGCUUUAUAAGUGCUCUAUGAAUAGAAAAGCGCUACAUAAAUGCAGUGCAUUGACAAUUUGAGUCUGAAAGUGGGUUGGGGG
Molecule: long non-coding RNA, 1401 nt
Organism: Clupea harengus (Atlantic herring)
Lineage: Eukaryota; Metazoa; Chordata; Actinopteri; Clupeiformes; Clupeidae
Source: Ensembl